RNAcentral lists this ribosomal RNA (716 nucleotides) under uncultured bacterium SY6-81. RNAcentral describes it as "bacterial SSU rRNA". It matches the Rfam family "Bacterial small subunit ribosomal RNA", at positions 50 to 738 of the family's 1533-position model. The record is from RNAcentral.
AACACAUGCAAGUCGUACGAGAAAUCCUCUGCUUGCAGGGGAGAGUAAAGUGGCGCACGGGUGAGUAUCGCGUGGGUAAUCUACCCUUGAAUUCAGGAUAACACUUCGAAAGGGGUGCUAAUACUGGAUAACAUCCUGAUGGUUUAGGCCAUAAGGAUCAAAGAUAGCCUCUACAUGUAAGCUAUAGUUCAGGGAUGAGCCCGCGUACCAUUAGCUAGUUGGUGGGGUAAGAGCCUACCAAGGCAACGAUGGUUAGCUGGUCUGAGAGGAUGAUCAGCCACACUGGAACUGAAACACGGUCCAGACUCCUACGGGAGGCAGCAGUGAGGAAUUUUGCGCAAUGGGGGAAACCCUGACGCAGCAACGCCGCGUGAGUGAAGAAGGCUUUCGGGUCGUAAAGCUCUGUCAAGAGGGAAGAAAGUGGGAGAUGGUAAUACUGUUUUCUAUUGACGGUACCUCUGAAGGAAGCACCGGCUAACUCCGUGCCAGCAGCCGCGGUAAUACGGGGGGUGCAAGCGUUAUUCGGAUUUAUUGGGCGUAAAGAGCGCGUAGGCGGUUUAUCAAGUCAGAUGUGAAAGCCCUGGGCUCAACCUGGGAAGUGCAUUUGAAACUAGUAGACUUGAGUAUGGGAGAGGGAAGUGGAAUUCCUGGUGUAGAAGUGAAAUUCGUANAUAUCAGGANGAACACCGGUGGCGAAGGCGACUUUCUGGACCAAU